Molecule: non-coding RNA, 83 nt
Organism: Coemansia sp. RSA 2531
Lineage: Eukaryota; Fungi; Kickxellomycota; Kickxellomycetes; Kickxellales; Kickxellaceae
Source: the annotation of a GenBank genome assembly
GGUCAGAUGGCCGAGUUGGUCUAAGGCGACAGGUUUAGGCCCUGUUCUCUUCGGAGGCGUGGGUUCGAAUCCCACUCUGAUCA